This is a long non-coding RNA of Rhea pennata, 842 nucleotides long. RefSeq lists it as uncharacterized. Lineage: Eukaryota; Metazoa; Chordata; Aves; Rheiformes; Rheidae. The record is from RefSeq and is a predicted model, not a curated record. The transcript is spliced from 2 exons.
CGCGGCGCGCCACGUCCCGGCCACACGGGAAGGCAGCCGUGCCCCUUCGCUUCCCCGUGAGGUUCGGCGCCGGGACGCGGGACCGCUGCCCCCGCCGCCUCCCCGAGAGGACGCGGGUCCGGGCUCGAGCGCCCGGCUCAAGCAUCCCCGCUUUUCUCGGGAGGCUGCACGGCCGAGAGGCCGCGUCGAGCGGUCCGGACCGGGACACGCUAACGCUUUGUUCUGCGUCUGCUCCUGCCAAGAGCCGCCUCGGUGCCGGCCUGCUGGGGACCGCUCCGGGGCACGCGCUCCGCACGCCGCUCGUCCCGAGCCUUACCUGGGGCCUGGCCGGCCGUGUCCUGGCACGGAGGCACCACCGGAGCUGUGGGUCCCCGCACGCUGACCCCCCCCCCCCCAGCAGCAAGCGUGGACCCACCACUGCGGGGCCACAGAGCUGAUGCACUGCAACGGGGUGCUAGGAGAGGAAGAAGGACAAGAAGCCAGUUAAGAAGACAGGCACCAUCAGCAGGGAGAGGAAGAGGAGGUCCAGAGGCACCCAGCCUGGGGGCAGCACCAGGGUUACCCAGGACAUCCCAGCCCAGGAGCCAGGAAGGGGCAGGAGCAUGUCUGGGCAGACCCAGGGGCUGGAGCCAGUGGAAAGGGCUUUGGUUGCUGCCAUGAGCGAUGUGUCGCUCCAGCCUCAGGAGACACGUGGCCAUGGUGGCACCAGGCCCAAGGCUUCCCCUUCCCUAAGGAACAUCCCCGCUACCUGUGGCCAAGUGAACCGGAGUGGUGCUGAGCCACCGUGGCACCAGCAGGGCCAUGAACAUGGUGAAGCCGACAAUAAAGAUGUUCCUCCCUGA